AUUAAAAGCAUGACUAACAUUUUGCUUAAAGACACUAUUGUUCUGGUUCAUAGGAGCACGUGCAUGUUUAACACUUUGAGAAUAUCAGCACGAAGGUUUCCUCACAUCCCUGUGCCAGCCUGCGCUCUUCACAGCCUCAAUCCUGCCCAGGCUAUCUUCUCAUUCGUGUCGAACAUUGCCAUUAAAGAACUCUGCACUGAUGACUCAAGUACUAUUGCAUAAUGUUCCCGAUUUAGAUGAGACCACCCGCAGUCUUUUG
Molecule: long non-coding RNA, 259 nt
Filed under: Chinchilla lanigera (long-tailed chinchilla)
Lineage: Eukaryota; Metazoa; Chordata; Mammalia; Rodentia; Chinchillidae
Description: lncRNA (ENSCLAG00000026593.1)
Source: RNAcentral